CGUAGGGUGCGAGCGUUGUCCGGAAUUAUUGGGCGUAAAGAGCUCGUAGGCGGUUUGUUGCGUCGGCCGUGAAAACCUGCAGCUUAACUGUGGGCCUGCGGUCGAUACGGGCAGACUUGAGUUCGGUAGGGGAGACUGGAAUUCCUGGUGUAGCGGUGAAAUGCGCAGAUAUCAGGAGGAACACCGGUGGCGAAGGCGGGUCUCUGGGCCGAUACUGACGCUGAGGAGCGAAAGCGUGGGGAGCGAACAGGAUUAGAUACCCUGGUAGUCCACGCCGUAAACGGUGGGCGCUAGGUGUGGGGAACCUCCACGUUCUCCGUGCCGUAGCUAACGCAUUAAGCGCCCCGCCUGGGGAGUACGGCCGCAAGGCUA
Molecule: ribosomal RNA, 372 nt
Filed under: uncultured organism
Description: bacterial SSU rRNA
Rfam family: Bacterial small subunit ribosomal RNA
Source: RNAcentral